RNAcentral lists this long non-coding RNA (1058 nucleotides) under Sus scrofa (pig). RNAcentral describes it as "lncRNA (ENSSSCG00055005445.1)". Lineage: Eukaryota; Metazoa; Chordata; Mammalia; Artiodactyla; Suidae. The record is from RNAcentral.
GACACUCGUUCUUCUGUAAAUAUGCUGGCAAACUUCUUUUAUUUUCUAUUUUGUUUAGCAUUUGAAUGAACAUUGGUAGCUUAUAUAUAUCUCAGGGAUUCAAAUACCCUCCUGGGAAUAUCUAGCCAUAUGUAAGUUUGUAAAGUGUUGGAACAACAGCAACGUCCCUUUAUCUCUUCCAGUUUUCCAAAGAUUAAAAUGUAACUGACAAAUUGUCACAGCCAAGCUGAGCCUAAAGAGACAUGAUGAGAUCCAGAAGCACGAAAGGACAUUAAAUAAAAACUGAAGAAGUCUGAAUUAAGUAUGGACUUCAUACUUUUAAUAAGGUAUCUUUUAAUAAGAUAAAUAAUAAGGUAUCAAUAUUGGUUUAUUUUAUAACAAAGGUACUGCACUAUUUUAAGAUAAUAAUAAUAAGGGAUGAUGGAUUUAAGCUAUGCUAGAACUCUGUCCUGUCUUUGCAAUUUUUCUAUAAAUCAAAAAUUAUUCUAAAAUGAAGAAUACUUAAACAUGAUUGACAUAACAGCUGUUUAAAUUUCUAUCUAGAUGCUUUCCUCUCUGCCUCUUAAUUUGAAUUCUUCUUGACUUUUUCCAGACAUUUUUCUUUGACUUCGAAGGAGCUGCAUCAGAUGGCUUGGGGUAGCUUGGGUUGAAAACAGCUGAUUUUCUUUUUCUUGUCUGUGUGGCAUCUCUGUCAAAGAUGAGAAAUUUGGGAAACAGGAACAAAAAGGAAGAGCCCUGUGCAGGACUUCAGGGAAAGAUUUCCCAGAAACAAAUGAACAGACAUACAGACAUCAUAGAAUGAAAAAGAGUAGAAUGGAUGCUUUCUGAACACCAAGCACAGUAUCCUUAAAUUUAAAACAGCUUCAGGUUCUGUUGCUCCUGGUCAUCUGUCAUUCUUUCCCAAAUCCUGAGAGUCAUGCUGGUCCUACCAUCAAUGUUGAACCAAGCUUUGACAGUGAAAUAUGUCCCAUAACCUGUGCCCUUGGACCUCUACAGAGUCUGCUUGGACUGUGACCUACAUCACAUUAAAAACCAGUUUGUGCCCAAGAUUACAUCAU